Cryptomeria japonica (Japanese cedar) is the source of this 409-nucleotide long non-coding RNA. RefSeq lists it as uncharacterized. The transcript is spliced from 3 exons. The record is from RefSeq and is a predicted model, not a curated record. NCBI's taxonomy places the organism in Eukaryota, Viridiplantae, Streptophyta, Pinopsida, Cupressales, Cupressaceae.
UCAUUCUUGUUUGUAUCAUUCCCAUUUAUAGCUCCGACUGGUUCAUUAUUUUUUCAUUUUUGGAGAAGCAAAUAUUGUCGCUCGUUGGUUUUGCAAAAGUGAACAUUGUUUGUCCUUUGCAAUUUGCACCUACUAGAUUUUCAGAGUGGUCAUUUGGGGAUUAUCAGUGGCAGAUUUCGAAGGCUUGUGUUCUUGUUUUUUCAUUGCAUUGUGUUUUCCGCCCUGUGAAGACUUCGAAAGCUCACCUCGACGCUUGCAUCUCAAGUCACAUUUCAAAGAUUCACAUAUAAAGGUUACCAACGGUCUGAUGCACCAAUUAACAUACCUCGGAAUUUCCUUCUCUCGUGUUGCUCAAAAAAAUAGGAUUAAUUUGGACAGUUUCACUCUUUUAUUAUGAACAAUAAAAACU